AGCGAACGCUGGCGGCAGGCUUAACACAUGCAAGUCGAGCGGGCAUCCGUGAGGUGUCCGCGGCUGACGGGUGAGUAACGCGUGGGAACGUGCCCUUCGGUUCGGAAUAACUCAGGGAAACUUAAGCUAAUACCGGAUACGUGCGAGAGCAGAACGGUUUAUAUGCCGAAGGACAGGAGCGCGACUGAUUCGUUAGUUGGUGAGGAUAUGGCUCACCAAGGCGUCGGCCAGUAGCUGGUGUGAGAGGCUGAUCAGGCACCCUGGGAGUGAGACCCGGCACAGACUCCUACGGGAGGGAGGAGUGGGGGAUAGUGGACAAUGGCGGCAACCAUGAUCCUGCCCUGCCGCGUGAGUGAUGACGGCCUUAGGGUUGUAAAGCUCUUUUCUCCGGGACGAUAAUGACGGUACCGGAGGAAUAAGCCCCGGCUAACUUCGUG
RNAcentral lists this ribosomal RNA (437 nucleotides) under uncultured bacterium. RNAcentral describes it as "partial 16S ribosomal RNA". It matches the Rfam family "Bacterial small subunit ribosomal RNA", at positions 29 to 507 of the family's 1533-position model. The record is from RNAcentral.